RNAcentral lists this ribosomal RNA (400 nucleotides) under phytoplankton environmental sample. RNAcentral's name for it is "partial small subunit ribosomal RNA". It matches the Rfam family "Eukaryotic small subunit ribosomal RNA", at positions 587 to 992 of the family's 1831-position model. The record is from RNAcentral.
AGCUCCAAUAGCGUAUAUUAAAGUUGUUGCAGUUAAAAAGCUCGUAGUUGGAUUUCGGGAUGGGCCAGUCGGUCUGCCGUGAGGUAAGUUACUGGCUGGUCUGUUCUUCCUCGCAAAGAAUGCGUGUGCUCUUCAUUGAGUGGGCGUAGGAUUUGCGACGUUUACUUUGAAAAAAUUAGAGUGUUCAAAGCAGGCUUACCGCUUGAAUACAUGAGCAUGGAAUAAUGGAAUAGGACUUUGGUCUUAUUUUGUUGGUUUCUAAGACCGAGGUAAUGAUUAAGAGGGACAGUUGGGGGCAUUCGUAUUUCGUUGUCAGAGGUGAAAUUCUUGGAUUUACGAAAGACGAACAACUGCGAAAGCAUUUGCCAAGAAUGUUUUCAUUAAUCAAGAACGAAAGUAC